Long non-coding RNA from Populus euphratica (Euphrates poplar), 685 nucleotides. RefSeq lists it as uncharacterized. The record is from RefSeq and is a predicted model, not a curated record. Lineage: Eukaryota; Viridiplantae; Streptophyta; Magnoliopsida; Malpighiales; Salicaceae. The transcript is spliced from 4 exons.
UCUUAUGAAGAAAGCUAUGAUGAAGAACGCUAUCAUAUCAUUUUUUGCUCGUGGGAUUUCUAUCAGCAAUCCAUAUUGUAACGUUUAACUUCUUCCAGAGAUGGCCUCCCAAGGAUGUGGAUAAUCUAAAGGAGAUUCAUCAGAUACUUGACCUAGCACAAUAUUCUUUGCAAAGCUUGCUGCGGAUCUUUAAACAGCAUCGCAACUGUAUUCCAGACGAACAUUAUGUGCAGACAUUACUUGCUAUGAAUGGGCUUGAAGAUGAACUUGAAAGAAGAACAUUGACCUUUACCAUGUGGAAUCACUCUGUCACAAAGGCGCAAACGUCAUGGCACCCUGUUACUUUCGAUUACGAUGAUGUCAGUGCUAACAAAAUCAAUGAAAUAAAAGUUAUCAACUCUAUAUCCCGUAAACAAGGAAAUCAAAGUGUGAUGUGCCAUGUCAACAACAGACAUUCACCUUGUUUUUUGUUCGCAAGAAAAUUCACAUAUAGAGCGGCUUUACAACUCCUGACCCAAGACUUGGUUGGUUUAUAUAAUUCUACUACAUCAUAAAACAUACCACCAUGAACAACUCCACUAUUAGAAAUAGUAUGUGCUACUGUAGAGAUUUUGUUUGUUCUUGCACUACUAAGCUUUCAGCACCAUAGUGGGUUCUAUUUGUAUUGAUUUAUGAACUCUUUUUU